Talpa occidentalis (Iberian mole) is the source of this 6806-nucleotide long non-coding RNA. RefSeq lists it as uncharacterized. Lineage: Eukaryota; Metazoa; Chordata; Mammalia; Eulipotyphla; Talpidae. The record is from RefSeq and is a predicted model, not a curated record. The transcript has 4 exons.
CGACGGCCGAGCGAUUUAUUUAUUUAUACAAGCACUGGGUACAGUCAGAAGUGCGAGAGGGUGAGAGAAUUCACCAGAGCCAGAGCAGGGAGCAGAGAAGGCAGAAGGACCGAAGUACAUUGCUGAGGGAGCAGCGGGCGGCAGGAGAGGUCUGCGCACCAUGUGGGACCCUCUUCCGGUGGCCAGGGAGCAGCCGGGGAUCGAACCAGCACUGCAGAGGCCUCAGGCAGCUUCGCAACCCAGAGCUCAACCACUGAGCCACCAGGGAGGUCCCCUCUUGUGUUUUUUAAAUAAGAAUGUCUCACCCCAUGCUCCACCCCCAGAAAACUUUUCCUCAUAUGAAUUACCUCUGCAUUCUGCCAGUAACUUUCACAUUAUGCAUAGGAAUAUAAUAAAAAUGAACAUACGAUUCUGCCUGACAAACAUAAAACCAAAAAAGUAUUUGGGGAUUGAAUUUAUUGAAUAAAUAAGAUUAACUGAAUGUUGAUGGAAGAACAGUUAAUUGUUAAUUAACAGUUAAUUAACAGUUUCUUGAAAAGUAUAUUUUUUAUAUAUAUGUAAAUAAAAGGUCUAUUUUCUUCUGAAUAACAUUGAAAACAUAUUGAUCAAGGUAAUAUAUAAACAUAAUUAGGAAAUUUCUAGAAGAAUCUGAGUGUAGUACCAUUCAAAAUUCACAGUCCUUGAGAUCACGGAGUCAUAUCUUUCUCAGUCUAGUAAAAAUAUCACGAAUUGUGUACAUCAUUUUAGUAAGGUUUUAAAGAAGUCAUCACACAGGCAUCAUUGAGCAAAUCGGAAUCUAUUCAACAGUAGUGAGCAACACAUUCUUAUUUCUGAAAUGCCACGUUAGCUACAUGAAAAUUAUCAAUAUUUAUAUACAAAGAAAAGUGAUAGAAUUUGUGAUUACUGAUUAGUCUAAAUCGUCAGACUCAUCCAGAUACUUCUUUUACGUCUGAGAGAUAUGUGUACUGUUACGGAGCAUCAGAUAAAAUCCAGCUGUACUUUAAUCCCAUUUCAAUCUAUCCUCACAGAAAAUAUUGACUCUUUUUUUUCCUGCAGACAUGCAGCUGUCAACUAUCCAAUUAUGGGUCUAGAUUUGCAUUACACUUUUAUUUCCUACCUGUUCCUUUUCAUCUAAAACACUUGUCCCUUGAAAUAGCUUUCACUGUCUGAAUAUGAAGGCAGGAAGUGCAGUGUCAUCAAACCUGUUGGAUAAUGUUCAUGGGCACAACAAAUAAUAUUGGCUAAAUUUAAGGGGAUGUAUUUCUGCUUUUAGAAGUGGUAAAAUCACUACUUAUCGCCAUGCAUUGUUAAUGUCAUAGUUAUCGUUCCAGUAAAAAUUUCAUUCCGUACCAAUAUGUAUGACAUUCUGCCCCCCACCCCCAAAGUAAAGUCUUUAGCACAUUGAAAUACCCACAAAGUAUGUGCACUUGAUUGAAAAGUAGGUGAAAUUACAGAAGCUCCUAGGGAUAUAUAUAGACUGGGAUUUCUGGAAAUCUUAAAGAUUUAUAAGCAAUAGCAGAAAGUAUAUAUAUUGUAAAGAUUAGUGAAGACCCACAAGAUUGUGGUGAUCAUUAAAUCCAAAUGCAACAGUUCAACAGAAUAAAAAAUUCUUUCUUAUGAAUUCUUUCUUAGAACAGUUCUCUUGAACCAACCAUUUUUUUCCUGCUUGGUCUUAUAAGAAUACUAGCAACCUCUGACUCACAGAUCAAUUAUCCUAGAUAAUAUCAUAGUAUAUUACAUCAAUUCUUUGGAUGUGGACUAAAAGGUCAUUGAGAAGGAACAUGAGCUUCUUAUUAUGUCCAUAGGUAACAUCUGUCACAUUUGUUCACUUUGUAUUGGGAAGAACGAGUCACAUGAUCACUCAUAACUGUACAGGAACUGGGAAAGCUACUUUUGCAUCACUAAUUUCAGGCUAUAACUAUUAUGGAAUUGAAAAAGGAUUUAUAGGUAGCUUCUUGUCUUUAAUAUAGAGAAAUAUUGCCAUUCAAUUGUUCUGAACGUAAGAGGGUGUUUUUGUUGCAGGUUUUGUGGGGUUUUUUGGUCUGUUUAUAUUUUGCCUGCUCAAUUUUCUGGCCAACUAGGUACAUAUAAAGCCCCAAAAUGCAAAUUAACUCAUAUUGGGAACAAUAGAAUGAAAUAAAUCUGCAAAAACAAGGUCAGUAUAUAGAGCUCAUCUCACUAAACAGGAAAGAAUUGAACUCAAUAGUCUAUAUCCAUGUAGAAAAUGCUUGAAUUAAGGUGAAUGCUUGAAUUAAUAAGGUGAACAGAUUUUUGACUUUGAGAUUCAUGUAACAUUCACAGUGAAGAUACCCUAAAAUGUCAUUUAUAUUUGACUGCAUUGCAAAGACCCUUUAUAUUUUUGUGUACAAUGAAUAAUAUUCUCAAUUCUGAAUCUUAUAGGAACAUCCAGGGAAAAGAAAUAAUGCCCCAGGCAAACAUGCAUGAAAUUAAUUAGCAUCAUAGAGUAAAUGCCACAUUUGGCCUUAUAUGGUGGCAGCCCUGUAUGAGUCACUGAAAUGGCUUUAAAAUAGAAAUGUUUGCUGAUAGCCCCUGACAUAUUCAUCUUUUUCUCCCAGCAUAAAUACUCAGUGAGUACAAAGGAGAUUAUUUUUUUUAAGAUUUAUUUAUUUAUUUAUAUAGGCACUGGGUACAGUCAGAAGCACGGGAGGGUAAGAGAAUUCGCCAGAGCCAGAGCGGGGAGCAGAACAGGCAGGCUGAGGAAGUACACUGCUGAGGGGAGCAGCGGGUGGCAGGAGAGGUCUGCGCGCCAUGUGGGACCCUUCUGGCGGCCGGGGAUCAAACCAGCACUGCGGAGGCUGUGGGCAGCUUCACAACCCAUCGCUCAACCGCUGCACCACCAGGGGAGGCCCACAAAGGAGACUAUUUUACAAUAAUAUACACAUUCAGUUCAUAAAGCAAAAGGAAAGUAAGAGGGCUCAUUUGCAUGUCUGGACCUGGGAUUUCUUGCAUAGCACUCCAACAAUACACAAGAGUCUUGCCAGGUCCCCAUACCAAAAGCUUUCCCUAUGGUCCGUGUGCCCCAGAAAAUGGGUGAUCUUGGCUUUCUUUUCCUUAUAUAAUAAGUUUCUUUUCUGGAUUUAUUGGACUGCUUUCUAUGGAAAUUUUCAUCUUUCUCCAAUUUCUCGCUCUCUCUAGUCUAUAGGUAGAGUGUACCAAUGAUGUUCCUGAUGCUGGUUUUCAUGGAAAGUCUUGUAGAGUUGUCCUUUCAGAACGCUCAGAUGGAACUCGUGAAGCAGAGUCUGCAGAUGGCUUCACAGUGUGGUGCUUAACCCCUGCGCCAUCAGAGAGGCGCCACGCCUUGCUUUUAUGUCAGCUUCAGGGUCUGGCUGCGGCGGACACUGUCGGUGAAAGGCUGGGAAUCCCGGAGCGUGCAACAGACCCGCCUGUGCCUUCUGCCCCAUCCUGCCUGCCCCAGCCCACUGUGACCUGCUCGUUAGCUGGAGUUAUGUUGGGACAAGGCCUGGGGGUGGACUAAAAGUUUCAGGGAGUGACUGGCCAGGAGCCUGAUUUGUGCCCCCCAGAUGACCAGGUGAGCUCUUAGAAGUCUCCUGCUUCUCUACUCCCUGCUUGCUUCAAGUUGCAAAUGUGCCCCUGCUGGGGCCAUGGGUACUCUGUCACCCAAUGGCUCAGGGCUCGGACUUUGGAAAAAGAUCACCUCUGGGCCUGCGGGAUAAAUAAAGAAGAAAUUUUUCCAUAACCUCUUACAAUCUAAAAAUCAAAAGGUAGAAGGUCCUAACUCUAAAUGCAAAUAAAGCGAGGUGUGUUAAGAAUUGUAUUUAAAAUAGGGCCUCCGGGCCUUCCCUGGUGGCAUAGGCGGUUGAGCACAGUGCUGUGAAGCAGUGCUGUGAAGCUGUCCGCAGCCUCUGCAGCGCCUGUUUGAUCCCGGCUGGCUAGAGAGGGUUCCACAUGGCACAGCAGACCUCUCGUGUCACGCCUGCUGCUCCCCUUAGCAGUGCAUUUCAGUCAGUCUGCUUGUUCUGUUCCCUACUCUGUCUCUGGUGAAUCCUCUCACCCCCCAAAUCUCUGGUCUGUACCCCAGUUCUUGUGUGCAUAAAUAAAUAAAUCUUAAAAGAUUAUUUAUGCACACAAGAACUGGGUUGUAAGCCAGACAUGGGGGUUGUGUUUGAGAGGAUUCACCAGAGACAGAGUUGGGGGCAGAACAGACAGACUGACUGAAACACACUGCUGAGCAGUGCAGCGGGGAGACAGGAGGGGUCUGCACACCAUGUGGGCUGCUCCGAGGCCUGCGGAAUCGACCUGGCACUGCGGACAGCUCCACAGGCUGCGCUCAACCUGCUGCGCCAAUGGGGAGGCCCUAAAACACAUUUUCAAUGGAAAUAGUAAUUUUAAUUUUGGAAAUGACCUAAGGAAAUGCUUUCAAAAUCAGAUAAAUCUUUAUGUGUAACAACAAUACCAGAAUUGUCAGGCCUAGUCUGCCAGCCAGGAACGGAUCCCAGGCUGCAGGGCAGCACAGAGCCCCAGCCACUAGACCCCCACGGGUUGGUGUCUCACAAAGCCGCAGCAGGAACUUCGCAGACGCUCAGGCAAGCAAGCGAGAAGAGGCAGUUUGUUUAUAGAAAGAAAAAGUUUAUUGAGGAGAAAAAGAACAGAAAUAAAGUGGGACUCCCAGGCCAGGGAACCAGGCCUGGGAGGGGCAAGGAAGCCAAAGUGGAGUCGUGUCUCAGGGAAUAUAUACCUUUUUUCCCUCAUUAUUCUAAAGCUCCACCAGUCUCUUUGUGAUUGGUUAGUUCUCGGCUGUCUCACUUAAUUUGCUACUGAGCAGGGGAUCUUUACAUUCCUUAUCUAACAGCUUUGUCUUUCCCCAUUUGUUGCAUCUUUAAAUUUAUGGCCCAGUCUUCUGGAUGGACAUCCCUGCAUUGAAGUUAAACAGCUGCCCUUCUAAUGUGUCCAUAAAUUAAACCACUCUCCAUUUCUCCAGUCUCCGCCUCCCUUUACCACCUGAAGGAAACCAGGACUAGCAUUAACAAUGUUGUCCUUGGUCCUGGAUGUUUGUUUUUCCUAGUGGAAUGGGUUACUUUCCCUUGGUUGUCCUUAUCUCUGAAGCCUCCCUAAAUUCUUCAGAGGUCCCCUCCUGCACUGUCCCUAAAACUGCAUAAUUCCUAGCUUGCCCUGUGUCUUAACAAUGUUCAAUAACACUUUAUUUACAGUAAAAUGAUUCGAAACUAUCCAAAUAAAAACCCCCAAUAUACACAAAAUUAAAUGUAAAAGCUGGAUACAGUAACACUGAACAGUCUUUAAUGGUGUGAAAAGUCCUUCUAUUAGUGUUAAAUGUUGAAAGUGGAGAAUCCUGGCAGUGCUGUGAUCCCACCACAGAAGAAACAUUAAUGACACACCCUCUCCUUACCCCUCACGUGUGAGGAUGAUACCGGAAUUGUCAGGCCUAGUCUCCCAGCCAGGAAGGGAUUCUAGGCUGCAGGGCAGUGCUGAGCCCCAGCCACUAGACCCCCCAUGGGUUGGUGUCUCAGGAAGCCACAGCAGGAACUUCGCAGACACUCAGGCAAGCAAGCGAGAAGAGGCAGUUUGUUUAGAAAAAGAAAAAGUUUAUUGAGGAGAAAGAGCAGAAAUAAAGUGGGACUCCCAGGCCAGGGAACCAGGCCUGGGAGGGGCAAGGAAGCCAAAGUGGAGUCGUGUCUCAGGGAAUAUAUACCUUUUUUCCCUCAUUAUUCUAAAGCUCCACCAGUCUCUUUGUGAUUGGUUAGUUCUCGGCUGUCUCACUUAAUUUGCUACUGAGUAGGGGAUCUUUACAUUCCUUAUCUAACAGCUUUGUCUUUCCCCAUUUGUUGCAUCUUUAAAUUUAUGGCCCAGUCUUCUGGAUGGGCAUCUCUGCAUUGAAGUUAAACAGCUGCCCUUCUAAUGUGUCCAUAAAUUAUUUUUUUUUUUUUCUUUAAUACCUCCUCAAGGGUAUGCUACCGCACCUCCACACCCUCACCAAAAUACCAGUAACCCUCUACCAUAGUUCAAUGGGCCCCUUCCGUGCUUUGCUUUGACCCCUCCUCCCUCCAUAGUAACUUCAGUUCUGCAGUCAGAAUCCAAGAGUUUGUUUUGGCUUCAUUUCCUCUCUUCUGUAGGUUUGUGUCUUUAGAUUCCAUAUGUAAGUGACAUCAUCUGGUAUUUCUUUCCCCUUCGAACUUAUGUUGUUUAUCAUAAUCCUCUCCAGUUCCAUCCAUGUUGUAGCAAAUGACAAAAUUUGAUCUUUUUAUUUUUAUAGCUCAGCAAUAUUUCAUUUUAUAUGUAUAUACUACAUCUUCAUUGUCUAAUCAUCUGUCCUUGGGCAUUUACAUUGUUUCUGCAACUUAGUUAUUGUAAAUAAUGCUGCCGUAAACACAGGAGUGCAUAUAUCUUUUUGAAUAAGUGUUUUUAUAUUCUUCAGAUAGGUACCUAGGAGCAGGAUUGCUGGAAUGUAAUAUUUUUCAGAAACCUCCAUGCUGUUUUCCAUAGUGACUGGACCAGUUUACAUGCCCAGCAAUAGUAUCGAAGGGUCCUUUUUCUCCAUACCUUGGCAUCACUUGUUUUUUGGUCUUUUUGAUGUGGGUCAUUCCCACAGAUAGGAGGUGACAGCUCGUUGUGGUUUUGAUUAGCAUUUCUCUGAUGAUGUGAUGAUGUGAACAUUUCUUCUUGAGCCUGUUGACUAGCUAUCUGUAUGUCUUCUUUGGAGAAGUAUCUAUUCAAAUCCUCUGCCUAUUUCUUGAUUUUUUUUUUUUUAAAUAUUAAAUUUUAUUUUUAUAUUCCCCCAUACAAUUGCAAACGCCCCAUUCUGACCCCAA